CCUACGGGAGGCAGCAGUGGGGAAUAUUGCACAAUGGGGGAAACCCUGAUGCAGCGACGCCGCGUGAGUGAAGAAGUAUUUCGGUAUGUAAAGCUCUAUCAGCAGGGAAGAAGAAAGACGGUACCUGACCAAGAAGCCCCGGCUAACUACGUGCCAGCAGCCGCGGGAAUACGUAGGGGGCAAGCGUUAUCCGGAUUUACUGGGUGUAAAGGGAGCGUAGACGGCUGUGCAAGUCUGAAGUGAAAGCCUAGGGCUCAACCCUGGGACUGCAUUGGAAACUGUGGAGCUAGAGUGCUGGAGAGGUAAGUGGAAUUCCUAGUGUAGCGGUGAAAUGCGUAGAUAUUAGGAGGAACACCAGUGGCGAAGGCGGCUUACUGGACAGUAACUGACGUUGAGGCUCGAAAGCGUGGGGAGCAAACAGGAUUAGAUACCCGGGUAGUC
Molecule: ribosomal RNA, 441 nt
Filed under: uncultured bacterium
Lineage: Bacteria
Description: partial 16S ribosomal RNA
Rfam family: Bacterial small subunit ribosomal RNA
Source: RNAcentral